RNAcentral lists this long non-coding RNA (2377 nucleotides) under Hordeum vulgare. Its description in RNAcentral is "long non-coding RNA (HVUL_LNC018397)". Lineage: Eukaryota; Viridiplantae; Streptophyta; Magnoliopsida; Poales; Poaceae. The record is from RNAcentral.
AAUAAAUUGCAUGCAAGCAAUCAAAGCAAUCCAACCUAAAAGUGCAACACCAAAUUCUCCAUCACCAGAAAGUACGACCCUACAACUAUUAGCAGAUGAACAAACAUGAGACAGAGUUUCGUUUUUUCCCUUCUCAAGUCACUAAUUUACCUAAUCUUCGAACAUGACACGACUGAGAGAGCACCGAACAAAGUUUUUAGUUACACAAUAGGAGGUGAACGAUCUAACUGAGGAUGCCACUGCAGCUUUUGUUCGCACAUCAACUUAUUUCUUCCUUCCACGGGUUGAUUUUGUCUUUUUGCCAGCACUGCACUGGCUGGUUUCUCUGAAAUUUCCUGCGAUUUAUACCAUACAGAAAUUCAUGUGCUGAAAAUUCUCGCGGAAAGCAAAAAAUCAUGUGCUGAAAUGUUGUCACACAGAAAAAAGAUAUAGUACUACCCCUGCAGUGCAAAUGCAUUGUUAGUGCACAAUUCCAUGCUAAACACAACCUAUAGGAGUCCCAGAGGGGAAAUCGUCUAAAAUUACUUCGGCACCACGCUCCGUUGUUGCACCCGCGUUUCUGGCAGUUCCGCAAUCUAUUGCCUCUCCGACUGAGGUAUCCCUCCCCACACAUCCCUAAGGCGUCCACCCAUCUGCUAAUGCCCUCAUGUCAUCGGGUGUGAUUACCCUUUUUUCUGGACGAAGGCAGCUGAACUAGAUGAAUAUACCAACAGAGUAUUUACCAAAUCUGAAGGUGCUACAAUUGAUCUACUCAUCUAUACCCUGAUUUGAAUAAUUGUCAGUGUGUGAACACGUUACUUAGCAUCUUUUCCAAUGUAUGCGAUGGGUUCAGCUAGAGAAAUUUUGAAGCAAUUAAGAUGGAGAUUUGUAUCAUAUCAUGUUGUUGUGUGUGAUGUUCUUUACUCUGCUUGUGGCAAUUUUGUACACGGAGAUAUGGUUUGGAUUAGUUAUGUGAUGUUCUGUCAUGUUUUUUGCGCUCCUUCUUAAGAGAGAAAAUUUUAGAUAUGUGUACUUAUUAUUGGUACCGGCACUGAUCGAUUGAUAAUUUGUGUGUUGUCUACAAUCUCACAUUUGCAGUUUUGAGCAUUGUUCUCUCCUUCUUUUCUUGAUAAAAAAUGAAUUCUUCAACUUUGUUUUCUCAUGAUCACAUCUUAAGUUGUAAGGAUAUUUUAAUAAUACAUUAAUAUUUUAGUAAUACAUUGCCCCAAAAGGCAAUUCGCUUUUACGUUUAUUCCAAAAGUUCAAUCUUUCACCUUAUUUUCUUUAAAGGUUGAAUGUUUCAUGUAUAAAUGAUAUGCAUUGUGAUAUUUCUUAACUUGAAUAUGAAUCUUUCACCUUAUUUUCCUUGAAGGUUGAAUGUUUCAUGAAUAAAUGAUAUGCAUUGUGAUAUUUCUUAACUUGAAUAUGAAUCUUUCACCUUAUUUUUCUUAAAGGUUGAAUGUGGACCUAUGUGUAAGGAAGAUAGCGCAUGUGAUUUUUUCUCCCGUUACAACGCACGGGCACAUUUACUAGUAAACUAGUAAUGGAUAGAUAGAAGGGGUACAUUUCCGAAACAACAUAACCAGAUAUAUGUUUCAACAAAGAUAAACUACUUGAUAGAUAGAUAGAUAGACAGAGAUACAGUUCCGAAACAACAUAACCCAAUAUAUGGUUCAUAAAAAAUAAACUACUGAUAGAUAAAUAGAUAGAUAGAUGCGAGUAACUGCAAUGGGACUAGUGCCAGCGACAGUGAGCGACUCUCUUCAGAGAAUUUUUGUUCAAAAGGACCCCCUGUCGAAUGAGAUUGUCAAAAUAGACCACCUAUGAGUGGAAAGGAGAAAAAAGACCCCCAUCCCGGAUGGCAGCAGGCGCGCCAGGCGGCACGUGGCACCUGCCGCCACCGCAUGAGGCGGCCGUAGGGCCUGCCGCCACCGCCCCUGGCGGCCGGGGCCUGCCGCCACCGGCUGAGGCGGCCAGCGCUGGAUCCCGUUCCCGCCCACUCCUGUCCGUAACGGACAAAGCAGGGUCUACCGCCUCAGCCAUCGAUGAGAUGGGGAAGCUGGGACAAACAUAGUAGCUUUGCAUUGCAUGCAUUGGUAGGAAGAUCGGACUUACACAGUUUUGACUCGGAGUAUGUUGAUGGCCUCCCAUAUUUUGUUAUUUUCCAUGGACGUCUUCUGAUUGUACUUCGACAUCUCCGCACGCAGCGCGUUAAUCUCGGCCAUGAAGUCUUCGCCGCUUUUGACGCCGCUGGUGCUGGUGCACAACAUUCGAAGCCCGCUCGCCGAAGGUGAGAAGCCUCCCCCGGUCCGGCCAAACAUCGGCCUUGAUACGGUGUUGAUGGCGAGGCGCGAGGUGGAUGGAGGACGGCAGGCCGCCGCCACGGCGCGUGCAGGNA